RNAcentral lists this ribosomal RNA (1404 nucleotides) under Tetrahymena pigmentosa. RNAcentral's name for it is "SSU rRNA". It matches the Rfam family "Bacterial small subunit ribosomal RNA", at positions 202 to 1533 of the family's 1533-position model. Lineage: Eukaryota; Ciliophora; Oligohymenophorea; Hymenostomatida; Tetrahymenidae. The record is from RNAcentral.
AAAAUAAGCAGCUUAAGGAUUAAUCCAUAUAAUAUUAGGUAAUUAUUUCUAAAUUUAUUUAAUAAAAUAUUUUAUUUUUAGUAAAAUAAGCCUAUAUGUUUAGUUGAAUUUAGAGAUUGUUCAACCACAUACGGGUAUGAAAACUACCCUAUCUUUUUGACAGCAGUGAGGAAUUUUGGACAAUAUGCGAAAGCAUGAUCCAGCGAACUAAUGGAAACGAAGAAGAUAACUAAUAUUGUAAAGUUUUGUUCGAGAAUUAACAUUUUGAGUAAAUUUUAAGAGAAGCUCUGGCUAAUACAUGUGCCAGCAGCCGCGGUAAUACAUGAGGAGUAAGCGUUAUUCACAUUGACUGAGUGUAUUAAAUACGUAGGAAUUUAUAAAUAUUUAUUUUAAAAAUGUAUUAAAAUACUAAAUAUAAUAAAAAUUUUAUAAAAGAUAAUUUUUUAUAAGAAAAGAAGACUUAUAGAACAGCGAUUAAAUGCAGUUACACUAUAUAGCUUAUCAUAAACUAAGGUGCUUUUCUAUUUUAAAUUAUAUCUGAUGUAUGAAAGUAUGGGUAUCGAUAAGGAUUAGUUUCCCUAGUAGUCCAUACUGUAAAAGAUGAAUACUUUAUGAUUUUUAUAAAUCGAGAAUAGCUAACGCAAAGUAUUCUACUUGGGGAGUAUUAUCGCAAGAUUAAAACUUAACUGAAUUGGCGGGAAUUUGUUCGAACGGUGGAACAUGUGGUUUAAUGCGAUAAUCCACGCAAAAUCUUACCAACGUUUUAGGCUUUAAUAGUAAUAUGGUUAAUACUAUAAUUAAAUGAUAAAGUUCGGAAUUGCAUGGCUGUCGUCAGUUCGUGCUGUGAAGUUUAGGAUUAAGUUUUUCUUAACGAAUGUAACCCUAUAAAUAAGUUUUUAAUUUUUAAUAAAUAAAUUUUUAAAUUAUUCUUAUUUAAUCUAUAAUCAAUUUUAAAGAAAUCUUUUUUUUUAUAAUUGAUUAUAGGGGUUUUAGGCUGAAGUCAAGUCCCUAUGGUCUUUAUACGUUGGGCUACACACGUGUUACAAGGAUAAAAACAAAGAGACGCGAUAGAGUAAUCUGAAGCAAAUCUCUAAAAAUUAUCUUAGUUCAGAUUGUUUUAUGAAAUUCUAAAACAUGAAGAUGAAAUCGUUAGUAAUUGUAAAUUAUAAUGUUACAGUGAAAUAAUUGUCAAAUUUUGCACACACCGCCCAUCACGCUCGAAAAGUCGAUAUUAGCGGAAGAUUUUAAAAUUUCUACAUAAUACUUAAUUAUUAUAUAAUUUUGUAAUAAAUAUUAUUUUUUAAUAGUGUAGUUAAUAAGUAGUAUCUAAUCUAAUAUUGGUGAUUUGAGUGAAGUUGACACAAGGUACUGGUAGGGGAACCUGUUGGUGGAAUAUAUAGUUAU